This is a non-coding RNA of Sphaeroforma arctica JP610, 74 nucleotides long. Lineage: Eukaryota; Ichthyosporea; Ichthyophonida. The record is from the annotation of a RefSeq genome assembly.
UCUGAUAUAGCUCAGUGAUAAGAGUGCACGCUUACCACUGGGGCGGUCCUGGGUUCAACUCCCAGAUUUGUGAA